GAGUCUGUUUUGCCCAGCAUCAAAGUAGCAUUUGUUUUUCCACUUCAAAUAUGCCUUCUAGAGUUUGACCACAGACAAUGUCUCUCAAUCUCUUACAAU
Aquila chrysaetos chrysaetos is the source of this 99-nucleotide long non-coding RNA. RefSeq lists it as uncharacterized. Lineage: Eukaryota; Metazoa; Chordata; Aves; Accipitriformes; Accipitridae. The transcript has 3 exons. The record is from RefSeq and is a predicted model, not a curated record.